RNAcentral lists this ribosomal RNA (675 nucleotides) under uncultured bacterium. RNAcentral describes it as "bacterial SSU rRNA". It matches the Rfam family "Bacterial small subunit ribosomal RNA", at positions 61 to 737 of the family's 1533-position model. The record is from RNAcentral.
GUCGAACGGGAAUUACUUUAUUGAAACUUCGGUCGAUUUAAUUUAAUUCUAGUGGCGGACGGGUGAGUAACGCGUGGGUAACCUGCCUUAUACAGGGGGAUAACAGUCAGAAAUGGCUGCUAAUACCGCAUAAGCGCACAGAGCUGCAUGGCUCAGUGUGAAAAACUCCGGUGGUAUAAGAUGGACCCGCGUUGGAUUAGCUAGUUGGUGGGGUAACGGCCCACCAAGGCGACGAUCCAUAGCCGGCCUGAGAGGGUGAACGGCCACAUUGGGACUGAGACACGGCCCAGACUCCUACGGGAGGCAGCAGUGGGGAAUAUUGCACAAUUGGGGAAACCCUGAUGCAGCGACGCCGCGUGAAGGAAGAGGUAUCUCGGUAUGUAAACUUCUAUCAGCAGGGAAGAUAGUGACGGUACCUGACUAAGAAGCCCCGGCUAACUACGUGCCAGCAGCCGCGGUAAUACGUAGGGGGCAAGCGUUAUCCGGAUUUACUGGGUGUAAAGGGAGCGUAGACGGUGUGGCAAGUCUGAUGUGAAAGGCAUGGGCUCAACCUGUGGACUGCAUUGGAAACUGUCAUACUUGAGUGCCGGAGGGGUAAGCGGAAUUCCUAGUGUAGCGGUGAAAUGCGUAGAUAUUAGGAGGAACACCAGUGGCGAAGGCGGCUUACUGGACGGU